RNAcentral lists this ribosomal RNA (383 nucleotides) under uncultured bacterium. Its description in RNAcentral is "bacterial SSU rRNA". It matches the Rfam family "Bacterial small subunit ribosomal RNA", at positions 32 to 400 of the family's 1533-position model. The record is from RNAcentral.
AAUCAACGCUGGCGGCGUGCCUCAGACAUGCAAGUCGAACGCGAAAGUUCCCUUCGGGGAGCGAGUAGAGUGGCGUCCGGGUGAGUAACACGUAGGUAAUCUACCUUUGGGUGGGGAAUAACUAGCCGAAAGGUUAGCUAAUACCGCGUACGCUCCUUGGACUUCGGUUCAGGGAGGAAAGCGAUACCGUGGGUAUCGCGCUCUUGGAUGGGCUCAUGUCCUAUCAGCUUGUUGGUGAGGUAACGGCUCACCAAGGCUUCGACGGGUAGCUGGUCUGAGAGGACGAUCAGCCACACUGGCACUGCGACACGGGCCAGACUCCUACGGGAGGCAGCAGUAAGGAAUAUUGCGCAAUGGGCGAAAGCCUGACGCAGCGACGCCGC